RNAcentral lists this ribosomal RNA (467 nucleotides) under uncultured Pseudomonadota bacterium. RNAcentral describes it as "bacterial SSU rRNA". It matches the Rfam family "Bacterial small subunit ribosomal RNA", at positions 30 to 484 of the family's 1533-position model. The record is from RNAcentral. Lineage: Bacteria; Pseudomonadati; Pseudomonadota.
AUUGAACGCUGGCGGUAUGCUUAACACAUGCAAGUCGAACGGCAGCAUGGAGGAGCUUGCUCCUCUGAUGGCGAAUGGCGGACGGGUGAGUAAUAUAUAGGAAUCUACCUUAUAGACUGGGAUAACUACUCGAAAGAGUGGCUAAUACCGGAUGUGGAUUGAGGUUUAAAGCAGGGGACCUUCGGGCCUUGCGCUAUAAGAUGAGCCUAUACAAGAUUAGCUAGUUGGUGGGGUAAAGGCCUACCAAGGCGACGAUCUUUAGCUGUUCUGAGAGGAUGAUCAGCCACACUGGGACUGAGACACGGCCCAGACUCCUACGGGAGGCAGCAGUGGGGAAUAUUGGACAAUGGGCGCAAGCCUGAUCCAGCAAUACCGCGUGUGUGAAGAAGGCCUUAGGGUUGUAAAGCACUUUUGUUAGGGAGAAUGGUCUUUGUACUAAUAGUAGUAGAGGCUGAUGUUACCUAAAG